RNAcentral lists this ribosomal RNA (425 nucleotides) under uncultured bacterium. RNAcentral describes it as "partial 16S ribosomal RNA". It matches the Rfam family "Bacterial small subunit ribosomal RNA", at positions 354 to 796 of the family's 1533-position model. The record is from RNAcentral.
GUGGGGAAUCUUAGACAAUGGGCGCAAGCCUGAUCUAGCCAUGCCGCGUGAGCGAUGAAGGCCUUAGGGUUGUAAAGCUCUUUCGCUGGGGAAGAUAAUGACUGUACCCAGUAAAGAAGCCCCGGCUAACUCCGUGCCAGCAGCCGCGGUAAUACGGAGGGGGCUAGCGUUAUUCGGAAUUACUGGGCGUAAAGCGCACGUAGGCGGACCAGAAAGUUGGGGGUGAAAUCCCGGGGCUCAACCUCGGAACUGCCUUCAAAACUCCUGGUCUUGAGUUCGAGAGAGGUGAGUGGAAUUCCGAGUGUAGAGGUGAAAUUCGUAGAUAUUCGGAGGAACACCAGUGGCGAAGGCGGCUCACUGGCUCGAUACUGACGCUGAGGUGCGAAAGCGUGGGGAGCAAACAGGAUUAGAAACCCUAGUAGUCC